GACGAACGCUGGCGGCGUGCUUAACACAUGCAAGUCGAGCGGUAAGGCCCUUUCGGGGGUACACGAGCGGCGAACGGGUGAGUAACACGUGGGUGACCUGCCCUCAGCUCUGGGAUAAGCCUGGGAAGCCGGGUCUAAUACUGGAUAUGACUCCAUGACGCAUGUUGUGGGGUGGAAAGCCUUGUGCGGCUGAGGAUGGGCCCGCGGCCUAUCAGCUUGUUGGUGGGGUGAUGGCCUACCAAGGCGACGACGGGUAGCCGGCCUGAGAGGGCGACCGGCCACACUGGGACUGAGACACGGCCCAGACUCC
Molecule: ribosomal RNA, 310 nt
Filed under: uncultured bacterium
Lineage: Bacteria
Description: bacterial SSU rRNA
Rfam family: Bacterial small subunit ribosomal RNA
Source: RNAcentral